RNAcentral lists this unclassified non-coding RNA (295 nucleotides) under Hevea brasiliensis (rubber tree). Lineage: Eukaryota; Viridiplantae; Streptophyta; Magnoliopsida; Malpighiales; Euphorbiaceae. The record is from RNAcentral.
GAGAAUGUAGGUGAAGCUCUCCAUAGGUUUCUGACGAGAUUCUGCGACAAGUGUGAAAACAUUGAAUCAGAAUUUCGUAAGAACCCUGAAUGAAGAGCUUGAGGGAGAUGGGAACUCCAAAGACCAGGCAUUGAAGCGAUAGGUGAAGCUGGAGUAGCGGCUGUUAUGUGGCGUUCGGGGCUAGGGUGUCAGAGGUAAGGAAAAAGGAGAAAAAAAGAGGAACCUGAAGACAGAGCAAGUGGCGUAUCGUUGAAGAAAGAAACGUCCAGUAUUUUUUUUUUAAGAAGAAAUGUCG